RNAcentral lists this unclassified non-coding RNA (393 nucleotides) under soil metagenome. RNAcentral describes it as "partial contains 5.8S ribosomal RNA, internal transcribed spacer 2, and large subunit ribosomal RNA". The stretch from base 1 to 122 matches the Rfam family "5.8S ribosomal RNA", at positions 35 to 154 of the family's 154-position model. The record is from RNAcentral.
GAUGAAGAACGCAGCGAAAUGCGAUACUUGGUGUGAAUUGCAGAAUCCCGUGAACCAUCGAGUCUUUGAACGCAAGUUGCGCCCGAAGCCACUAGGCCGAGGGCACGCCUGCCUGGGCGUCACACGUCGUUGCCCCCCCCCCAUCUACUCCUUCGGAAUUGCGGGGGGCGGAUGAUGGCCUCCCGUGCGCCUAGCCGCGCGGUUGGCAUAAAUACCAAGUCCUCGGCGACGCACGCCACGACAAUCGGUGGUUGCGAAACCUCGGUUGCCCGUCGUGUGCGUUCGUCGCGCAUCGAGGGCUCGAAAAAAUGCUCGGCUCCGGCUCGGCUUUCAACGCGACCCCAGGUCAGGCGGGGUUACCCGCUGAAUUUAAGCAUAUCAAUAAGCGGAGGA